This 301-nucleotide ribosomal RNA is filed under the name uncultured bacterium. RNAcentral describes it as "partial 16S ribosomal RNA". It matches the Rfam family "Bacterial small subunit ribosomal RNA", at positions 509 to 807 of the family's 1533-position model. The record is from RNAcentral.
CAGCCGCCGCGGUAAUACAGAGGGUGCGAGCGUUAAUCGGAUUUACUGGGCGUAAAGCGUGCGUAGGCGGCUUCUUAAGUCGGAUGUGAAAUCCCUGAGCUUAACUUAGGAAUUGCAUUCGAUACUGGGAAGCUAAAGUAUGGGAGAGGAUGGUAGAAUUCCAGGUGUAGCGGUGAAAUGCGUAGAGAUCUGGAGGAAUACCGAUGGCGAAGGCAGCCAUCUGGCCUAAUACUGACGCUGAGGUACGAAAGCAUGGGGAGCAAACAGGAUUAGAUACCCCGGUAGUCCCUGUCUCUUAUAC